RNAcentral lists this transfer RNA (74 nucleotides) under Lachnospiraceae bacterium. RNAcentral's name for it is "tRNA-Glu". It matches the Rfam family "tRNA". Rfam says of the family: Transfer RNA (tRNA) molecules are approximately 80 nucleotides in length. RNAcentral also lists the same sequence under 1 other name. Lineage: Bacteria; Bacillati; Bacillota; Clostridia; Lachnospirales; Lachnospiraceae. The record is from RNAcentral.
CGCCCCAUAUACUAACACGGUCAGGUGGCCAGGCUUUCAACCUGGAGAUACGGGUUCAAGUCCCGUUGGGGUGA